CAGUAUGCUCUGGUCCUGAGCAGAGCAUCCAAACAACCAACCAACCAGCACAAAUGACAAAUCUGAGCCCUCCACUGCCCCACAGCACCCCACCCACAACAUAUUCAAAGCAUAAUUGCAACGAGAAAAAAAAGAAAUUGCAAAACAUGAAAACAAACCACAGCAUAAACCGAAUAGUGCCAGAUAGUCACAUAACUAAAUAAGCAUCCAGGUUUGCACCCCUGAAGUUAACAACUCAACACAAACACAGUGUCCAAAUAACUGAAGCAGUACCAGGCAAGCGUUACACAGAAGGAUCACUCCAACCUGACAGCUCAACUAAAACCUACACGACGACAGGGACUCACAGAGGA
Molecule: long non-coding RNA, 353 nt
Filed under: Sorghum bicolor (sorghum)
Lineage: Eukaryota; Viridiplantae; Streptophyta; Magnoliopsida; Poales; Poaceae
Description: long non-coding RNA (SBIC_LNC000117)
Source: RNAcentral